Molecule: ribosomal RNA, 346 nt
Filed under: uncultured Actinomycetaceae bacterium
Lineage: Bacteria; Bacillati; Actinomycetota; Actinomycetes; Actinomycetales; Actinomycetaceae
Description: bacterial SSU rRNA
Rfam family: Bacterial small subunit ribosomal RNA
Source: RNAcentral
AGAGUUUGAUCCUGGCUCAGGACGAACGCUGGCGGCGUGCUUAACACAUGCAAGUCGAACGGAUUGUUGCCGCUUGCGGUGGCAGUUAGUGGCGAACGGGUGAGUAACACGUGAGUAACCUGCCCUCUUCUUUGGGAUAAGCACCUGAAAGGGUGUCUAAUACUGGAUAUUCUGGCGUCCUCGCAUGGGGGUGUUUGGAAAGGGUUUCUGGUGGGGGAUGGGCUCGCGGCUUAUCAGCUUGUUGGUGGGGUAAUGGCUUACCAAGGCUUUGACGGGUAACCGGCCUGAGAGGGUGGUCGGUCACAUUGGGACUGAGAUACGGCCCAGACUCCUACGGGAGGCAGCA